Molecule: ribosomal RNA, 371 nt
Filed under: uncultured bacterium
Lineage: Bacteria
Description: bacterial SSU rRNA
Rfam family: Bacterial small subunit ribosomal RNA
Source: RNAcentral
ACGAAGGGGGCUAGCGUUGCUCGGAAUUACUGGGCGUAAAGGGAGCGUAGGCGGAUAGUUUAGUCAGAGGUGAAAGCCCAGGGCUCAACCUUGGAAUUGCCUUUGAUACUGGCUAUCUUGAGUAUGGGAGAGGUUAGCGGAACUCCGAGUGUAGAGGUGAAAUUCGUAGAUAUUCGGAAGAACACCAGUGGCGAAGGCGGCUAACUGGCCCAUUACUGACGCUGAGGCUCGAAAGCGUGGGGAGCAAACAGGAUUAGAUACCCUGGUAGUCCACGCCGUAAACGAUGAGUGCUAGUUGUCGGCAUGCAUGCAUGUCGGUGACGCAGCUAACGCAUUAAGCACUCCGCCUGGGGAGUACGGUCGCAAGAUUA